UAUGUACUCCUUCCGUCCGGAAAAGGUUGUCUCUCAAAUGGAUGUAUCUAGCACCAGGUUAGUGCUAGAUACAUACAUUUGAGGGAUAAACUUGGGACAAGCUUUUUCGGACGGAGGGAGUAUGUG
Molecule: non-coding RNA, 126 nt
Organism: Triticum urartu
Lineage: Eukaryota; Viridiplantae; Streptophyta; Magnoliopsida; Poales; Poaceae
Source: Rfam